This 740-nucleotide ribosomal RNA is filed under the name uncultured bacterium. RNAcentral describes it as "bacterial SSU rRNA". It matches the Rfam family "Bacterial small subunit ribosomal RNA", at positions 78 to 818 of the family's 1533-position model. The record is from RNAcentral.
AGCAAUACAGGAAUGGCGCACGGCGCACGGGUGCGUAACUCGUGGGUAAUCUGCCCUUCGAUGGGGAAUAACCCCGGGAAACCGGGGCUAAUUCCGCAUAACAUUCCGGGAACUUUGGUUCUUGGAUUCAAAGGCGCAAGUCGUCGGAGGAGGAGCCCGCGCACGAUUAGCUAGUUGGUAGGGUAAUGGCCUACCAAGGCUAUGAUCGUUAGCUGGUCUGAGAGGAUGGCCAGCCACACUGGAACUGAGACACGGUCCAGACUCCUACGGGAGGCAGCAGUGGGGAAUCUUGCACAAUGGGCGAAAGCCUGAUGCAGCGACGCCGCGUGGGGGAUGAAGCUUCUCGGAGUGUAAACCCCUUUCGACCGGGACGAAUACCUCGCAAGAGGGGUGACGGUACCGGUAUAAGAAGCCCCGGCUAACUACGUGCCAGCAGCCGCGGUAAGACGUAGGGGGCCAGCGUUGCUCGGAAUUACUGGGUGUAAAGGGUUCGUAGGCGGUGUAGCAAGUCGGGAGUGAAAUCUCUGAGCUCAACUCAGGGGCUGCUUCCGAAACUGCUGUGCUGGAGUGUGGGAGAGGCGCGUGGAAUUGCAGGUGUAGCGGUGAAAUGCGUAGAUAUCUGCAGGAACACCCGUGGCGAAAGCGGCGCGCUGGACCACUACUGACGCUGAGGAACGAAAGCUAGGGGAGCAAACAGGAUUAGAUACCCUGGUAGUCCUGGCCCUAAACGAUCAGGACUU